RNAcentral lists this ribosomal RNA (418 nucleotides) under uncultured bacterium. RNAcentral's name for it is "bacterial SSU rRNA". It matches the Rfam family "Bacterial small subunit ribosomal RNA", at positions 355 to 786 of the family's 1533-position model. The record is from RNAcentral.
UGGGGAAUAUUGGGCAAUGGGCGAAAGCCUGACCCAGCAACGCCGCGUGAGUGAAGAAGGCUUUCGGGUUGUAAAGCUCUGUUGUUGAGGACGAAGGAAGUGACGGUACUCAACAAGGAAGCCCCGGCUAACUACGUGCCAGCAGCCGCGGUAAUACGUAGGGGGCGAGCGUUGUCCGGAAUGACUGGGCGUAAAGGGCGUGUAGGCGGCCGAUUAAGUGUGGAGUGAAAGUCCACUUUUGCAAGGGUGGAAUUGCUUUGCAGACUGGUUGGCUUGAGUGCGGAAGAGGUAAGUGGAAUUCCCAGUGUAGCGGUGAAAUGCGUAGAGAUUGGGAGGAACACCAGUGGCGAAGGCGACUUACUGGGCCGUAACUGACGCUGAGGCGCGAAAGCGUGGGGAGCGAACAGGAUUAGAUACC